RNAcentral lists this ribosomal RNA (497 nucleotides) under uncultured bacterium. Its description in RNAcentral is "partial 16S ribosomal RNA". It matches the Rfam family "Bacterial small subunit ribosomal RNA", at positions 28 to 507 of the family's 1533-position model. The record is from RNAcentral.
GAUGAACGCUGGCGGCGUGCCUAAUACAUGCAAGUCGAGCGAACAGACGAGGAGCUUGCUCCUCUGACGUUAGCGGCGGACGGGUGAGUAACACGUGGAUAACCUACCUAUAAGACUGGGAUAACUUCGGGAAACCGGAGCUAAUACCGGAUAAUAUAUUGAACCGCAUGGUUCAAUAGUGAAAGACGGUUUUGCUGUCACUUAUAGAUGGAUCCGCGCCGCAUUAGCUAGUUGGUAAGGUAACGGCUUACCAAGGCAACGAUGCGUAGCCGACCUGAGAGGUGGAUCGGCCACACUGGAACUGAGACACGGUCCAGACUCCUACGGGGGGCAGCAGUAGGGAACCUUCCGCAAUGGGCGAAAUCCUGACGGAGCAACGCCGCGUGAGUGAUGAAGGUCUUCGGAUCGUAAAACUCUGUUAUUAGGGAAGAACAAAUGUGUAAGUAACUAUGCACGUCUUGACGGUACCUAAUCAGAAAGCCACGGCUAACUACGUG